GAUGAACGCUGGCGGCGUGCCUAAUACAUGCAAGUCGAGCGAACGGACGAGAAGCUUGCUUCUCUGAUGUUAGCGGCGGACGGGUGAGUAACACGUGGAUAACCUACCUAUAAGACUGGGAUAACUUCGGGAAACCGGAGCUAAUACCGGAUAAUAUUUUGAACCGCAUGGUUCAAAAGUGAAAGACGGUCUUGCUGUCACUUAUAGAUGGAUCCGCGCUGCAUUAGCUAGUUGGUAAGGUAACGGCGUACCAAGGCUACGAUGCAUAGCCGACCUGAGAGGGGGAUCGGCAACACUGGAAAUGAGACACGGUCCAGACUCCUACGGGAGGCAGAAGUAGGGAAUCUGCCGCAAUGGGCGAAAGCCUGACGGAGCAACGCCGCGUGAGUGAUGAAGGUCUUCGGAUCGUAAAACUCUGUUAUUAGGGAAGAACAUAUGUGUAGUAACUGUGCACAUCUUGACGGUACCUAAUCAGAAAGCCACGGCUAACUACGUG
RNAcentral lists this ribosomal RNA (496 nucleotides) under uncultured bacterium. Its description in RNAcentral is "partial 16S ribosomal RNA". It matches the Rfam family "Bacterial small subunit ribosomal RNA", at positions 28 to 507 of the family's 1533-position model. The record is from RNAcentral.